ACGGAGGGUGCAAGCGUUAUCCGGAAUCAUUGGGUUUAAAGGGUCCGUAGGCGGGCGAUUAAGUCAGAGGUGAAAUCCCACAGCUUAACUGUGGAACUGCCUUUGAUACUGGUUGUCUUGAGUUAUAGUGAAGUAGAUAGAAUGUGUAGUGUAGCGGUGAAAUGCUUAGAUAUUACACAGAAUACCGAUUGCGAAGGCAGUUUACUAACUAUUGACUGACGCUAAUGGACGAAAGCGUGGGGAGCGAACAGG
This 252-nucleotide ribosomal RNA is filed under the name uncultured bacterium. RNAcentral's name for it is "partial 16S ribosomal RNA". It matches the Rfam family "Bacterial small subunit ribosomal RNA", at positions 525 to 776 of the family's 1533-position model. The record is from RNAcentral.